ACGUUUCGGCUACCUACACGGCGGCCAUUAUCAAAGACGUAUAUGAUAAUGGCCGCCGUGUAGGUAGCCGAAACGUCAGA
Paramuricea clavata is the source of this 80-nucleotide non-coding RNA. The record is from the annotation of a GenBank genome assembly. Lineage: Eukaryota; Metazoa; Cnidaria; Anthozoa; Malacalcyonacea; Plexauridae.